This 99-nucleotide ribosomal RNA is filed under the name uncultured bacterium. RNAcentral describes it as "partial 16S ribosomal RNA". It matches the Rfam family "Bacterial small subunit ribosomal RNA", at positions 1384 to 1482 of the family's 1533-position model. The record is from RNAcentral.
UACACACCGCCCGUCACGCUAUGGAAGCUGCCAACACCUGAAGUCGUCGCGCUAACCGGAAGGAGGCAGACGCCGAGGGUGGGGGGAGUAACUGGAGCG